GCUAUGCUUUGCUAGGCAUACAGACAGAUGCUCAUAGUUUGCAUUAUUAAAUAUACACACAGAGAGAUCUGUAUAUCUUGAUUUGUUAAUCUUUAAUCAUGAGCAUUGCUCAAAGUUGUUAAAUUUUAUUAAAGAUUAAUGUUGAUAGCCACAUAAUAGUCCAUCAUUACAAUUAAUUCACCAGUAUUCCACAGUUAAAUAUUGAGGUUAUUAUCACAUUUUUGUUAGUAUAAAUUACACUACAAGAAACAUCUUUGUCCUUAAAUAUUUGUCCAUAUUAUCAUCAUUUACUUUUACCGUAUUUCCAGAAAUGAACUUAAUGCAUUAAAACACAUUAAAUAUCUUGAUUGAAAUAAUUUCUAGAAAUUUUAUAACAUUUUCACUACUUUAGUGGAAAAACAGUAUCAUAAUUGAUUUUCAAUUAUUUUAUUACAAGUGGAAUUGAACAAUUUUCAGCUAUUUCUUUAUACUUUGGAUUUCUUCUGUUGUCUAUGUCUUUUGCCUGAUUUUCUAUAGAAAAAUCUCUAUUUUAUAUUGUCCUUUGCCUAAUUAGCACCAUUGUUAGUGUUUUCCCUAUUAAAUUGUAAGCAGGGGGACACACUUUCUCACUCAUGCUAGUUCCCUCUGUGCGGAUGGAGCUCCACUGCCAACCACUUCUGGCACUCUUGCCCUCAUGGUCCUUCUAGCCCUAGGGAUGAGGAAUGGCUGAUUGGUGAGUUUGGGGUAAGGAACUGAGCAUGUGCAGCUUAACUCUUUCCACAGUGUCCCUGUCCGGCUGUUAUAGAUACCAUAAGUGCUCGUCUCGUCUCAUCUGUUCUUCUUUGCUGUAAGUUUUAAAGGAACAGCUUAAUUUGGGAGGCAUAGGGCUUUCCAGGACUGCCUGGGACCCAGUGCACAGGUCUGCCUAGUUCUAAUGUUCAAAGUUAGAAAGCCCACUGUUGCCACUCACAGAGGUCACCCAAAACCCUUCCUCAGUAAUAGAAGUAAUAUUUUGCUCUCUGUCUUUCACUGUUUUGUCUCUCCAAUUGGUUCAAUCUUGGGUAGAGAAAGCAAGGUGUCAUUCAUUGGGCAUCCUAAAACUCCAAAAUCUGUUUGAAACUUGAAAAAUAUAUAUAUACAAAGCUGAAUUUGAGGGACAAAGUAACAAUAAAAGAUUGGACACUGGAGCAGAAAGUGGAGAGUUUAAAACUGCAUGGAUUUGUUUUUCCUUGACAUGUCACUGAAGUUUAUGGAAACUUUGUUCACAGGCAAGUAGUUGUUUUGUACCUCUUCACUGGGUUUAGGAAUAUUCAAGCAGGCCUCAGCAAAAGCACAGGGUGCCUUGGUCUCAGCAUAUCUCAAUUUCUCAGGCUGCUGGGCAUCUGCAGGUGCAUACUGCCAUUGCUUCACAUUGAAACCACACAGGCACCUUAGCAAAAAAAUGCAGUUUGAGGGGUGGAGGGAACCCGAGCAGGUACGGGCGGCCAUGGGGCCAUAGUAAGCGGAGGACUUGAUUACACAGGAAAGUGUUCUCAUGUCAUGCUUUUUAGAUAUUUGGGAGUUGCAUAAAUUAUUUGAAGCUUUCACUUGGGUUUUUUUUGUAUUGUUUUGCCAAUUAGAUCAAAUCUUAAAUUACAACUGUGUUCUACAGAAACUACAGAAAAAUAGUGUGGAAUCUUAGCUUGAACUUGUUAAUGUGAGGCCAAAGUAGAGAGUGGCAUAGAUUUCUCCAAAUACUGUGAUGUUUCAUGUCAUUCGGAAUUUCAUUCAUGAAAAAUAGGAAAUAGUGGAGGAGCUACGCUUGGAUAUAAGCUUAGCUUAGCUAAGCUCUUGUCCACAAAUGCUUAAAACUCUAUCCCUCAUAUAAUCUCAAGUUGGCUCUGGAUUUUUUAAUUGCAUAAGUUCUGAAAUGGCUUAAAAAUGGUGUAAGACACAAGUUGUAGCUGAAUUCACAGAAGAGUGGUUUAUUUCACCAAAAAAAUAAAAAUAAAAAUAAAUAGGGCCUUUAGUAUAGAAACAAAUGCUAACUUCUUAGGCUCAACUGAAAUAUUGCAGAACCAAGAAAAAAGGUAAUUUAAAAGGCCUGUGCUUGAAACAUUCUGCCUCUAGGAAUCAAGUUUGCUCAGAAGUCAAGGAAGACUUGACAGUGGCUUUUUAAAAAAUUGGUUCAGCCUUCAUCUCGGAACAGAAGCAGUAGAAACAUGAAAAUAAAUCAAGAAAGACAGACUAAUUAAACUGGAGGAAGAAAAAUAAUCCUCAGGGGAAAGGUUAAGCUCUGAGGAAAUGGGUUAUGUGGAUAUUAAAGGAAACAUAAGGUCUUGAAGGCCAGAAUAGAUCAAUAAUGAUGAGAAUAUAAAAUAAAUAAUAGUGUUAUAUGAUAAUAAAUUAAUAAUAAAGGAGCAUUACACCCAGGUGUUGUGAGGAUAAAAUGAAUUAACAUAUGGAAACUCCUUAGAGCAGUGCCUGUAUGUGGUAAAUGCUCUACCUGGGUCAUCUGGUGCCAUUAUUAUCAGUACUGUUAAGUUUAGAGGAGUAAAGAUACGGGCAUAAUAAGCAGAAUAAACUGUUAGACACCAGGGCAGAAAAGAGAAUAAGGAUAUGUUAGUAGAAACUCUCUCACUUUGGCCAAAAACAACAGAGAAUUAAAGCUAGUCAAGGCUUCCGACAUCCAAGAACUGAGGAGCAGUGGUACUCUGGGGAAUAGGGGCAGAGGCAUAGGUCCUCACCGGGCUCUCAGGUAUUUCUAUUCAGAAAUCUGAGGCGAUUCUCCAGCUGAAACAACGAGGGAUUGGAGGGAUCCCAUCUUUCCUGGGAGUGAGCACUUCCGGAGCCUAGAAGUCCACAAUCAAGAAGUUCAAAGGAUUGGUUCUUUCCGAGGACUGUGAGGGAAAGAUCUGUCCAGGCCUCUCGCCUUGGCUUGUGGAUGGCCGUCUUCUCCCUGUGUCUCUGCACAUCAUCUUUCCUUCCUCCCGUUGGAAUUCAGGCACAGCUGACCAGCAUUAACAUCAGCACAGAGACCUGAAGACUGAUGAAACACUUUUGUAGCCGUAAGACGCCAAAUUCCAGCCUGAUUCUAGUGUCGCAUCACUUGACAGAUCAUUGGUACACCCCCUCUUUUCUACUCCAAAGAAAUCCAUUUUGUUCCAGUUCUUAGCCCUUUUCUCAUGGCUGUGUGCUUCAGGAUAAGCCUAACUCCGAGAGUAAGUCCUAAUUAGUCAACCCCGGUGAUCUCAUUCUCCUCACCAAUGAUUGGUUAGUAUCAUAGGCAUGUGGUACAAUUCUGGCCAAUGAGACAUGAGGAUAACUAAUAACUUCCAGGAAAUAUUUCCUAACUUUUAAAAGGAAACACACAGAAAAAGUCUAUUCCUUUUCUGAAUGUGAUUGCAUUUGGCUGUG
This 3375-nucleotide long non-coding RNA is filed under the name Homo sapiens (human). RNAcentral describes it as "HSALNT0110273". The record is from RNAcentral. Lineage: Eukaryota; Metazoa; Chordata; Mammalia; Primates; Hominidae.